ACGAUCACUCUCGUUACUGGUUGGUUUUUCCUUCCAUUUUUAUUUAUUUCUGUCCGUAGUCUAAGGUGACCGUUGGUUUAUUAAAUUGAGGCGCCUAACGGUACAGUUUUAAGCUUCGCGCUUGUGCGCUCGAGUUCGAAUUUCCCACCCUUCCCUCCUCGUGACGUUUUUCAUACCUUUUGAAUUUGGCGCGCUGAGCGGCCAUGCCUGAUUCUCAUAUUGGAGAUUUGGCGCGAGAAGCGGCCAUGACAGUUUGCCAUACUGGCUCUUUUGGCGCGCGGCGUCACGGGAACGUUCUGGGAAGCAGUGAGAGCGGUGACAGUCAGUUUCCGGUCUGCGAUUCCGUGGAGAGAACAUGUAGUGGAGAGCAAGUGAUUUUAUCUGAGAUCAUCCGUGAUAUUAUUUUAUCUGGGACUUAUCCGUCUUCAGUUUUGGAAUCAGCAAUACUUUAUUUUGGAUUGGAGAGAUGUUCGGUGUUGAUCUGUUUGCUCCGAGUUCCUUUUUAUUAGUGAUUUGUUCACUUUAUUUUAUUGCUUGGAGCUCUGGUUUUGGACCCGAUGUCACUGUGGCGUUCCUCAUGGAUCCCAGUGCUUGAUUAUAACACCUGAUCGGGUCCUUGGUUAUGAUAUAACCUGUAUUUGUUUAUGGUGAUGUUCGAGGUUAUGCUCUCUACCUUGACAAGUGUUCAUGUUUUACUUCUGAUUUUAACCUUAUGGCUCUGCCUGCUAUGAUUCGUCUCGUCUCAUGUGACGUUGUUUCUCUCAAGAGCCUUGAAGAUUUUCUCGUUGUUUUGCGAGUUUAGAACCCUUUUGUUUGGUUCUGUGUUGUUGAGUCAACAUGUUUAGUAUUUGUUAAUAUUUAAUCAUUCUGAAUGCUCUAGUUUUACUAGAACAACUAUGCUUACUUCUGGUUCACAUUUGAGCCGCGUUUUGAGUUGAGACUUUGAGAGAUUGAGGAAGGAACUUGUUUGUUCUUGAGUUUGUUGUUGGCUGUGUUUAGAGCCUUGUUUAUAGAGAUUAUAUGGAGCGAGUUUUGCUCUAGUUAGAGGCUGGUCCUCUGGUUUUUAAAUUAAGUAUUUGUAUGGCUUUUAGCCUCUGGUUUUGAAGUUGUGAACUUGUGGUUCAUAUUUUAGUUUUAGUGUUUAAACUUUGUGUUUUGAGGUUCUUCUGGAGUCAGUAUUUGUAUUCCUACAUUGUGUGAUAUUGUUGCCAUUGCAUUAUUAAAGCCACUUGUUAUUGUUAAA
Frankliniella occidentalis (western flower thrips) is the source of this 1243-nucleotide long non-coding RNA. RefSeq lists it as uncharacterized. NCBI's taxonomy places the organism in Eukaryota, Metazoa, Arthropoda, Insecta, Thysanoptera, Thripidae. The record is from RefSeq and is a predicted model, not a curated record. The transcript has 4 exons.